This 468-nucleotide ribosomal RNA is filed under the name uncultured bacterium. RNAcentral's name for it is "partial 16S ribosomal RNA". It matches the Rfam family "Bacterial small subunit ribosomal RNA", at positions 28 to 507 of the family's 1533-position model. The record is from RNAcentral.
GACGAACGCUGGCGGCGUGCUUAACACAUGCAAGUCGAACGGAAAGGCCCUGCUUUUGUGGGGUGCUCGAGUGGCGAACGGGUGAGUAACACGUGAGUAACCUGCCCUUGACUUUGGGAUAACUUCAGGAAACUGGGGCUAAUACCGGAUAGGAGCUCCUGCUGCAUGGUGGGGAUUGGAAAGUUUCGGCGGUUGGGGCUGGACUCGCGGCUUAUCAGCUUGUUGGUGGGGUAGUGGCUUACCAGGGCUUUGACGGGUAGCCGGCCUGAGAGGGUGACCGGCCACAUUGGGACUGAGAUACGGCCCAGACUGCUACGGGAGGCAGCAGUGGGGAAUAUUGCACAAUGGGCGGAAGCCUGAUGCAGCAACGCCGCGUGCGGGAUGACGGCCUUCGGGUUGUAAACCGCUUUCGCCUGUGACGAAGCGUGAGUGACGGUAAUGGGUAAAGAAGCACCGGCUAACUACGUG